UGAACGCUGGCGGCAUGCUUUACACAUGCAAGUCGGACGGCAGCACAGAGAAGCUUGCUUCUUGGGUGGCGAGUGGCGAACGGGUGAGUAACAUAUCGGAACGUACCGAGUAGUGGGGGAUAACUGAUCGAAAGAUCAGCUAAUACCGCAUACGUCUUGAGAGGGAAAGCAGGGGACCUUCGGGCCUUGCGCUAUUCGAGCGGCCGAUAUCUGAUUAGCUAGUUGGUGGGGUAAAGGCCUACCAAGGCGACGAUCAGUAGCGGGUCUGAGAGGAUGAUCCGCCACACUGGGACUGAGACACGGCCCAGACUCCUACGGGAGGCAGCAGUGGGGAAUUUUGGACAAUGGGCGCAAGCCUGAUCCAGCCAUGCCGCGUGUCUGAAGAAGGCCUUCGGGUUGUAAAGGACUUUUGUCAGGGAAGAAAAGACUGUUGCUAAUAUCAGCGGCUGAUGACGGUACCUGAAGAAUAAGCACCGGCUAACUACGUGCCAGCAGCCGCGGUAAUACGUAGGGUGCGAGCGUUAAUCGGAAUUACUGGGCGUAAAGCGAGCGCAGACGGUUACUUAAGCAGGAUGUGAAAUCCCCGGGCUCAACCUGGGAACUGCGUUCUGAACUGGGUGACUAGAGUGUGUCAGAGGGAGGUAGAAUUCCACGUGUAGCAGUGAAAUGCGUAGAGAUGUGGAGGAAUACCGAUGGCGAAGGCAGCCUCCUGGGAUAACACUGACGUUCAUGCUCGAAGCGUGGUAGCAA
This 750-nucleotide ribosomal RNA is filed under the name uncultured Neisseria sp. RNAcentral's name for it is "bacterial SSU rRNA". It matches the Rfam family "Bacterial small subunit ribosomal RNA", at positions 30 to 771 of the family's 1533-position model. The record is from RNAcentral. Lineage: Bacteria; Pseudomonadati; Pseudomonadota; Betaproteobacteria; Neisseriales; Neisseriaceae.